UUGACUCGGGGUGCCUGCCGCAAAAGUGGCUUGGCUGAGAAAUACCCGUAUAACCUGAUCUGGAUAAUGCCAGCGUAGGGAAGUCA
Molecule: non-coding RNA, 86 nt
Filed under: Yersinia massiliensis
Lineage: Bacteria; Pseudomonadati; Pseudomonadota; Gammaproteobacteria; Enterobacterales; Yersiniaceae
Description: TPP riboswitch (THI element)
Rfam family: TPP riboswitch aptamer (THI element)
About the family: Vitamin B(1) in its active form thiamin pyrophosphate (TPP) is an essential coenzyme that is synthesised by coupling of pyrimidine and thiazole moieties in bacteria. The previously detected thiamin-regulatory element, thi box was extended, resulting in a new, highly conserved RNA secondary structure, the THI element, which is widely distributed in eubacteria and also occurs in some archaea.
Source: RNAcentral